GAGUUUGAUCCUGGCUCAGGAUGAACGCUGGCGGCGUGCCUAAUACAUGCAAGUCGAGCGAACGGACGAGAAGCUUGCUUCUCUGAUGUUAGCGGCGGACGGGUGAGUAACACGUGGAUAACCUACCUAUAAGACUGGGAUAACUUCGGGAAACCGGAGCUAAUACCGGAUAAUAUUUUGAACCGCAUGGUUCAAAAGUGAAAGACGGUCUUGCUGUCACUUAUAGAUGGAUCCGCGCUGCAUUAGCUAGUUGGUAAGGUAACGGCUUACCAAGGCAACGAUGCAUAGCCGACCUGAGAGGGUGAUCGGCCACACUGGAACUGAGACACGGUCCAGACUCCUACGGGAGGCAGCUGUAGGGAAUCUUCCGCAAUGGGCGAAAGCCUGACGGAGCAACGCCGCGUGAGUGAUGAAGGUCUUCGGAUCGUAAAACUCUGUUAUUAGGGAAGAACAUAUGUGUAAGUAACUGUGCACAUCUUGACGGUACCUAAUCAGAAAGCCACGGCUAACUACGUCG
Molecule: ribosomal RNA, 517 nt
Filed under: uncultured microorganism
Description: bacterial SSU rRNA
Rfam family: Bacterial small subunit ribosomal RNA
Source: RNAcentral